GACGAGCGCUGGCGGCGUGCUUAACACAUGCAAGUCGAACGGACAGACAGAGAGCUUGCUCUCUUGAAGUUAGUGGCGAACGGGUGAGUAACGCGUAAUUAACCUGCCCUUCAGAGGGGGAUAACAACGGGAAACCGUUGCUAAUACCGCGUACGAUUCAUGAACGGCAUCGCUUAUUAAUGAAAGGUGGCCUCCAUGUAUAAGCUAUCGCUGACGGAGGGGAUUGCGUCUGAUUAGCGAGUUGGAGGGGUAACGGCCCACCAAGGCAAUGAUCAGUAGCCGGUCUGAGAGGAUGAACGGCAACAUUGGGACUGAGACACGGCCCAGACUCCUACGGGAGGCAGCAGUGGGGAAUCUUCCGCAAUGGACUAAAGUCUGACGGAGCAACGCCGCGUGAGUGAUGAAGGUCUUCGGAUUGUAAAGCUCUGUUAAUCGGGACGAAAGAGUUCUGCGUGAAUAUUGCAGAAAAUUAACGGUACCGGAAUAGAAAGCCACGGCUAACUACGUGCCAGCAGCCGCCGUAA
This 524-nucleotide ribosomal RNA is filed under the name uncultured bacterium. RNAcentral describes it as "partial 16S ribosomal RNA". It matches the Rfam family "Bacterial small subunit ribosomal RNA", at positions 28 to 523 of the family's 1533-position model. The record is from RNAcentral.